Molecule: ribosomal RNA, 467 nt
Filed under: uncultured bacterium
Lineage: Bacteria
Description: partial 16S ribosomal RNA
Rfam family: Bacterial small subunit ribosomal RNA
Source: RNAcentral
GACGAACGCUGGCGGCGUGCUUAACACAUGCAAGUCGAACGGAAAGGCCCUGCUUUUGUGGGGUGCUCGAGUGGCGAACGGGUGAGUAACACGUGAGUAACCUGCCCUUGACUUUGGGAUAACUUCAGGAAACUGGGGCUAAUACCGGAUAGGAGCUCCUGCUGCAUGGUGGGGGUUGGAAAGUUUCGGCGGUUGGGGAUGGACUCGCGGCUUAUCAGCUUGUUGGUGGGGUAGUGGCUUACCAAGGCUUUGACGGGUAGCCGGCCUGAGAGGGUGACCGGCCACAUUGGGACUGGGAUGCGGCCCAGACUCCUACGGGAGGCAGCAGUGGGGAAUAUUGCACAAUGGGCGGAAGCCUGAUGCAGCAACGCCGCGUGCGGGAUGACGGCCUUCGGGUUGUAAACCGCUUUCGCCUGUGACGAAGCGUGAGUGACGGUAAUGGGUAAAGAAGCACCGGCUAACUACGU